UCCUUCUACUGAUUCUGUUUCCUUUGCCUCUCCUCCUCUUGUUUGUAAGUUGAAAAAGUCUCUUUAUGGGCUGAGACAUGCAUCCAGAUAAUGGUAUGCUAAAUUGUCUUAUGCUCUCUACUCAAGAGGCUAUACACAUUCUUUGAAUGAUUAUUCUCUGUUCAUCAAAGGACAACCUGGCUGUCUUGUGGUUGUGGCAGUCUAUGUGGAUGAUAUUAUUAUUACUGGGGAUGACAAUGAUGAGCUUUCUGCCCUGAAACUGUUUCUGGAUGAUCAGUUCAGGAUUAAAGACCUGGGGUCUUUGCAUUAUUUUUUGGGCAUAGGGAUGUCUGUUGUUCUUGGUGGUAUGCUCCUUAAUCAGCAUAAGUAUGUUUCUGACCUGCUGCAUCAAUUUGACUAUAUGAAUGUUUCUCCUGUUGUUUGUCCUUUGGAUCUUAAUGUCAAACUCCAUGUUGAUUCUGGUGACCUCUUCUCCUCCCCUGAUCAAUAUAGGAGCAUUGUUGGUAAGCUCUUAUUUUUCCCUGAAACUGUUUCUAGAUGAUCAGUUCAGGAUUAAAGACCUGGGGUCUUUGCAUUAUUUUUUGGGCAUAGGGAUGUCUGUUGUUCUUGGUGGGAUGCUCCUUAAUUAGCAUAAGUAUGUUUCUGACCUGCUGCAUCAAUUUGACUAUAUGAAUGUUUCUCCUGUUGUUUGUCCUUUGGAUCUUAAUGUCAAACUCCAUGUUGAUUCUGGUGACCUUCUCUUCUCCCCUGAUCAAUAUAGGAGCCUUAUUGGUAAGCUCUUAUUUUUGACUCACACAAGGCCUGACAUUUACUUUGUUGUUCAGCAUCUGAGUCAAUUUUUGAAGUGUCCCAGAG
This 855-nucleotide long non-coding RNA is filed under the name Nicotiana benthamiana. RNAcentral describes it as "long non-coding RNA (NBEN_LNC019204)". Lineage: Eukaryota; Viridiplantae; Streptophyta; Magnoliopsida; Solanales; Solanaceae. The record is from RNAcentral.